Molecule: ribosomal RNA, 254 nt
Filed under: uncultured bacterium
Lineage: Bacteria
Description: partial 16S ribosomal RNA
Rfam family: Bacterial small subunit ribosomal RNA
Source: RNAcentral
UACGGGGGGAGCAAGCGUUGUUCGGAUUUACUGGGCGUAAAGGGCGCGUAGGCGGUCGUGACAAGUCACUUGUGAAAUCUCCGGGCUUAACUCGGAACGGUCAAGUGAUACUGUCGGACUAGAGUACAGAAGGGGCAACUGGAAUUCUCGGUGUAGCGGUGAAAUGCGUAGAUAUCGAGAGGAACACCUGCGGCGAAGGCGGCCUUCUGGACAGUGACUGACGCUGAGACGCGAAAGCGUGGGGAGCAAACAGG